Molecule: long non-coding RNA, 83 nt
Organism: Sinocyclocheilus rhinocerous
Lineage: Eukaryota; Metazoa; Chordata; Actinopteri; Cypriniformes; Cyprinidae
Exons: 3
Source: RefSeq, a predicted model, not a curated record
UUACAUCACUUUAAAUCAGUGGUUCUCAACCUUUUUUAGGCCAGCGCCCCCCUACCCAUUCUCCAGGUCCCUUACCACCCCCA